GCCUCGGUAGCUCAGUUGGAUAGAGCAACGGUUUUCUAAACCGUGGGUCAGGGGUUCGAAUCCCUUCCGGGGUA
This is a non-coding RNA of Sphingobacterium sp. 21, 74 nucleotides long. The record is from Rfam. NCBI's taxonomy places the organism in Bacteria, Pseudomonadati, Bacteroidota, Sphingobacteriia, Sphingobacteriales, Sphingobacteriaceae.